Molecule: non-coding RNA, 496 nt
Organism: Schizosaccharomyces pombe (fission yeast)
Lineage: Eukaryota; Fungi; Ascomycota; Schizosaccharomycetes; Schizosaccharomycetales; Schizosaccharomycetaceae
Source: the annotation of a GenBank genome assembly
AAGAGCGUUGUAAAGACAUACCGUGUACAUCUCAUGAUACAAGACAGAGUUUUCUCCAAAGCCGACAUAGAGGAUACAAAAGGGAAACGAUGAUAACCACAAUAACGGCCUAAAUAAUGAGUUAGUUGACUUAAGUUUAAAAAUUUAAUUGUUCGUAAAAUCGUACUCAUAUAGCUGGAUUAUGCUAGACGAACCCAAUAAAUAAAAGCAUGCAGGUAAAAAAAAGGACGCAUUUGAAAUUUGGAGGAACUUUUUGCCAGAGUUGCAUAAGAAAGGAAUGAAUAAAACUGAAAAUAUUUCCAAAAUACUUUCAAAAUUCCGAUGUUGAUAAUUCACUUCAACACAUUCUUGCUCACGAUCAAUCUUUUCCGACGUAUCAUAACAUUUUUUCGACAUUAUAUACAUUAAAAAUCAACAAACAGUUAGCCAACAGAAAUGAUGUUUUUCAUUAACAGAGGAUUUGCUAAAUAGCAACAAUUGCAAAAAAUCGUUAGAU